This is a small nucleolar RNA of Eutrema salsugineum, 79 nucleotides long. It matches the Rfam family "Small nucleolar RNA R160". From Rfam's summary of the family: snoR160 is a C/D box small nucleolar RNA, which acts as a methylation guide for 25S ribosomal RNA in plants. snoR160 has been alternatively named snoZ270 in rice. Lineage: Eukaryota; Viridiplantae; Streptophyta; Magnoliopsida; Brassicales; Brassicaceae. The record is from Rfam.
AGCAUGAUGAUGAGACUAUUUUUUGCCUUCAAAUUAAUGUAGAUAUAUUAUAUAUACCUUCAAAUUUCUCUGAAUUGCU